AUCCAGCUGACGAGUUCCAAAAAGGACGAAACGCGCGUCCUGGAU
RNAcentral lists this non-coding RNA (45 nucleotides) under Schistosoma margrebowiei. Lineage: Eukaryota; Metazoa; Platyhelminthes; Trematoda; Strigeidida; Schistosomatidae. The record is from RNAcentral.